UACGUAGGGCGCAAGCGUUGUCCGGAAUUAUUGGGCGUAAAGAGCUCGUAGGCGGCUUGUCACGUCGGAUGUGAAAGCCCGAGGCUUAACCUCGGGUCUGCAUUCGAUACGGGCUAGCUAGAGUGUGGUAGGGGAGAUCGGAAUUCCUGGUGUAGCGGUGAAAUGCGCAGAUAUCAGGAGGAACACCGGUGGCGAAGGCGGAUCUCUGGGCCAUUACUGACGCUGAGGAGCGAAGGCGUGGGGAGCGAACAGG
This 253-nucleotide ribosomal RNA is filed under the name uncultured bacterium. RNAcentral's name for it is "partial 16S ribosomal RNA". It matches the Rfam family "Bacterial small subunit ribosomal RNA", at positions 524 to 776 of the family's 1533-position model. The record is from RNAcentral.